GGCCGGGUCCUGCGCAACGGCACCCCGUGAACCGAGUCAGGGCCGGGAGGCAGCAGCUCUCAGCGGGUCGUCCCGUGUGCCGCAGACCGCCUGGCCGCU
Molecule: signal recognition particle RNA, 99 nt
Filed under: Actinomycetes bacterium
Lineage: Bacteria; Bacillati; Actinomycetota; Actinomycetes
Description: Actinobacteria bacterium signal recognition particle sRNA small type
Rfam family: Bacterial small signal recognition particle RNA
About the family: The signal recognition particle (SRP) is a universally conserved ribonucleoprotein involved in the co-translational targeting of proteins to membranes. Archaeal SRP consists of a 7S RNA and homologues of the eukaryotic SRP19 and SRP54 proteins.
Source: RNAcentral